This 322-nucleotide ribosomal RNA is filed under the name uncultured Bacillota bacterium. Its description in RNAcentral is "bacterial SSU rRNA". It matches the Rfam family "Bacterial small subunit ribosomal RNA", at positions 28 to 351 of the family's 1533-position model. Lineage: Bacteria; Bacillati; Bacillota. The record is from RNAcentral.
GACGAACGCUGGCGGCGUGCCUAACACAUGCAAGUCGAGCGGAGAUUAUAGCAAUAUGAUCUUAGCGGCGGACGGGUGAGUAACGCGUGGGCAACCUGCCUUAUACAGGGGGAUAACACUGGGAAACUAGUGCUAAUACCGCAUAACAUCAUUUUAUGGCAUCAUAGGAUGAUCAAAGGAGUAAUCCGGUAUGAGAUGGGCCCGCGUCCGAUUAGCUAGUUGGUGAGGUAAAAGCUCACCAAGGCGACGAUCGGUAGCCGAACUGAGAGGUUGAUCGGCCACAUUGGGACUGAGACACUGCCCAGACUCCUACGGGAGGCAG